This 253-nucleotide ribosomal RNA is filed under the name uncultured bacterium. Its description in RNAcentral is "partial 16S ribosomal RNA". It matches the Rfam family "Bacterial small subunit ribosomal RNA", at positions 524 to 776 of the family's 1533-position model. The record is from RNAcentral.
UACGUAGGGUGCGAGCGUUAAUCGGAAUUACUGGGCGUAAAGCGUGCGCAGGCGGUGCACCAAGCUCGAUGUGAAAGCCCCGGGCUUAACCUGGGAAUUGCAUUGAGGACUGGUGUGCUCGAGUGCGGCAGAGGGGGGUGGAAUUCCACGUGUAGCAGUGAAAUGCGUAGAGAUGUGGAGGAACACCGAUGGCGAAGGCAGCCCCCUGGGCCGACACUGACGCUCAUGCACGAAAGCGUGGGGAGCAAACGGG